This 616-nucleotide ribosomal RNA is filed under the name Schistosoma incognitum. RNAcentral describes it as "partial 16S ribosomal RNA". The stretch from base 185 to 349 matches the Rfam family "Archaeal large subunit ribosomal RNA", at positions 1882 to 2091 of the family's 2987-position model. The record is from RNAcentral. Lineage: Eukaryota; Metazoa; Platyhelminthes; Trematoda; Strigeidida; Schistosomatidae.
AAGAGAUGUUUAUGAAUUUUAUAUAGGUGACUUAGAUUAAUGUUGUCUUUGGUUAUAUGAGUAGUUGAAAUAGCUAUAUAUACGGUUUCAUUCUUUUAGGUAUAUGUCACUAGUUAAUUGUUUAUGUCAUAAUGAAGGAAUAAGUAGAUUAUUUAUUAUGAAUUGGUUGCUAUUAUUCUCGGUAGUGAGUCCAACUGUUUAAUAAAGACAUUUUCAUUUGUUAGAUAUAAAUGAUAUGACCUGCUCAAUGUAGAAGUGUAUAAAUGGCCGCGGUUAAGAGUUUCGUGCUAAGGUAGCAUAAUAUAUAGCUUUUUAAUUGAGGGCUUGUGAAUGGUUUAAUGAGAUUUACAUAAAAGGGCGAUCUUUUUUGAAAUUGAUUUAUUAGUUAAGAAUCUGAUAUUAUAAUAUAAGACGGAAAGACCCCGAGAUCUUUACUAUUAGUUUUGUUUGGGGUAAAUGUAGUUUAUUCAUUUAUUUUAUGAUCUUUUUGGAUUAAGGUUUAAGUUACCUCGGGGAUAACUGAGUAAAGAACAGGGAGAGGUCAUAUUGAUCUGUUUGUUACUACCUCGAUGUUGGCUUAGAGAUACCUAUAUGGAGCAGAUGCUAUAUAAGGAGG